GAGGAUCUCUCCCUUUUCCUUUCUUCUUUUUUUUCCCCUCAGCAACGUACCUAUUGGUGGGGUUUCUUUUUCUGCUCACUUGAACACGAACAGGGUGACUGGAAGAAGAAGAGACUUCCAAAGACAGGGAGCAGGCCUGGGAACAGUGUCCCGCCCACACUGAGGCACCUUGCACUGUCUGCCAAUGAGAACAUUAGGGAAGGACGGAGACAAGUUAUUGCAGUCCAGCAAGUGGGAGAACACCAGCUAUUCUGAGACACCUGGGCUAGUGCACUAUGCUGAGUGGAAUGAGGUCUGAAGAAGCACCACUCAGCUGUCCAGGAGCUCCUCUGAUGGGUUUGCCCCUUCCCAAUUUACAAGGAGAACAAAGCCGAUCCUCUGCAGGUUUUUACUGACAGUCAGUCUAUCCAGCUGUCCAGCAACAUACAAUAUGUAUAAACAAGUCGUAUGCUUCUGUGCAUUCAUCUGUAUUGUACAUCAAUGUAUCUGCAGAUUAACUGGGAUCUCCUAGCUAGUUGCCAGUGUAGUUCUCAGUCACCAGGGCUAGACAAUCGUGUACUGAACAGAGUGUUCACUGCAGGGGAGAUAGCUUAUUGUGUAAACUUCCCCUAUGUAGUAUAUAAAUUUGUAGUUUAAAAAAUUA
Long non-coding RNA from Mauremys reevesii (Reeves's turtle), 643 nucleotides. RefSeq lists it as uncharacterized. The transcript has 3 exons. NCBI's taxonomy places the organism in Eukaryota, Metazoa, Chordata, Testudines, Geoemydidae. The record is from RefSeq and is a predicted model, not a curated record.